GUGUCAGCAGCCGCGGUAAUACGUACUGUGCGAACGUUAUUCGGAAUCACUGGGCUUAAAGGGUGCGUAGGCGGUUUUUCAAGUCAGGUGUGAAAUCUUCAGGCUCAACCUGGAAAUGGCGCUUGAAACUGAGAGACUUGAGGCAGCUAGGGGUGUGUGGAACUUCCAGUGGAGCGGUGAAAUGUGUUGAUAUUGGAAGGAACGCCGGUGGCGAAAGCGACACACUGGGGCUGAACUGACGCUGAGGCACGAAAGCCAGGGGAGCGAACGGGAUUAGAUACCCCUGUAGUCC
This 292-nucleotide ribosomal RNA is filed under the name uncultured bacterium. RNAcentral's name for it is "partial 16S ribosomal RNA". It matches the Rfam family "Bacterial small subunit ribosomal RNA", at positions 505 to 796 of the family's 1533-position model. The record is from RNAcentral.